This 662-nucleotide long non-coding RNA is filed under the name Danio rerio (zebrafish). RNAcentral's name for it is "lncRNA si:ch211-285d14.9 (ENSDARG00000097754.2)". The record is from RNAcentral. Lineage: Eukaryota; Metazoa; Chordata; Actinopteri; Cypriniformes; Danionidae.
CGGAGCGGAUGGCAAACGGCGCUUGGGGAACUGUUACGCUUGGUGUGUUUGGUUAAAGAUAUCUUGGUUCUCAAAAUGUGUAAACUUAGCCUGUUUGACUCUUGUAAAAGCAAGCAAAGUAGCUGUUUAGUAUGUUACAAGUGGGACACGUUGAAAACCAGUAGCAGGUUUGACUGAAUCUUUCUCUGUGUCUGAUGAGGAGGAUGUGAAGCUCAGGACUGGUCAUCAUUUCAACACAUCAAUCUACAGACAAACAUCACAUUUAAUAAAGAUUUAAUGAAGAAAGCCUGAUCAAUGUGUCAAUGUUGUGCCCACUUGUGGAGGAUUUGUGCAUCUGCAUGAAAACAGCAAGAGGACAGGAAAUGAAGAGUGUGUAAUCCUGCAGCUGUAGAGCAGUUUAAGCCUCAUUAAAAACACCUGAAGCUGCUAAUCAAGCUCAUCAGCACUGAUAGAAAUCUCCUGACUCAACUCUUUUCUUUUAUUCCAGCAGAAAUUAAGAUUAAAAAUUGAUGUAAAAGUUAUUUAUUUUCAGUCAAUUACAGGCUGAAAUGAAUUAAGUUUUUGGUGACUAUUUUUGUGAUUGUUUGCACAUUUUAAACAGAAAUAUGUUUCAUGAAUGCUGACAUUUUUAAUUAAAAAUAAGAAGUUUAUGUGUGACAGUA